Molecule: non-coding RNA, 311 nt
Organism: Lactuca sativa (garden lettuce)
Lineage: Eukaryota; Viridiplantae; Streptophyta; Magnoliopsida; Asterales; Asteraceae
Source: RefSeq, a predicted model, not a curated record
CUCUCCUUAUCCCCCGAGCAUUUCGGUCCCUCGUGAUUCGACUUCUCUUUCUGUAGUUUUAGUAUAGUAAGGUGAGCGCUGCACGAAUCUUUCUUAGAAAGAUUCAGCGACGAAGUUCUGCCCCUGCAGAGCCCGACUCCUAGCUAAAAUCCCCUUGUAAGUUUCGUCGAAGGAAAUUAUUUUAAAGUAAACGAAGCGCUGUCCGAGUACCGAGUCACCACCUUCUCAAGUGUUGAUAUGAAGUGACAUUACACUGAGAGAUUUAAAGAGAUGUAGAUCACUAGUGUAAAUAAUUGUAAGUUCUGUUUAUG